AGAGUUUGAUCAUGGCUCAGAUUGAACGCUGGCGGCAGGCCUAACACAUGCAAGUCGAGCGGUAGCACAGAGAGCUUGCUCUCGGGUGACGAGCGGCGGACGGGUGAGUAAUGUCUGGGAAACUGCCUGAUGGAGGGGGAUAACUACUGGAAACGGUAGCUAAUACCGCAUAAUGUCGCAAGACCAAAGUGGGGGACCUUCGGGCCUCAUGCCAUCAGAUGUGCCCAGAUGGGAUUAGCUAGUAGGUGGGGUAACGGCUCACCUAGGCGACGAUCCCUAGCUGGUCUGAGAGGAUGACCAGCCACACUGGAACUGAGACACGGUCCAGACUCCUACGGGAGGCAGCAGUGGGGAAUAUUGCACAAUGGGCGCAAGCCUGAUGCAGCCAUGCCGCGUGUGUGAAGAAGGCCUUCGGGUUGUAAAGCACUUUCAGCGGGGAGGAAGGCGGUGAGGUUAAUAACCUCAUCGAUUGACGUUACCCGCAGAAGAAGCACCGGCUAACUCCGUGCCAGCAGCCGCGGUAAUACGGAGGGUGCAAGCGUUAAUCGGAAUUACUGGGCGUAAAGCGCACGCAGGCGGUCUGUCAAGUCGGAUGUGAAAUCCCCGGGCUCAACCUGGGAACUGCAUUCGAAACUGGCAGGCUAGAGUCUUGUAGAGGGGGGUAGAAUUCCAGGUGUAGCGGUGAAAUGCGUAGAGAUCUGGAGGAAUACCGGUGGCGAAGGCGGCCCCCUGGACAAAGACUGACGCUCAGGUGCGAAAGCGUGGGGAGCAAACAGGAUUAGAUACCCUGGUAGUCCACGCCGUAAACGAUGUCGAUUUGGAGGUUGUGCCCUUGAGGCGUGGCUUCCGGAGCUAACGCGUUAAAUCGACCGCCUGGGGAGUACGGCCGCAAGGUUAAAACUCAAAUGAAUUGACGGGGGCCCGCACAAGCGGUGGAGCAUGUGGUUUAAUUCGAUGCAACGCGAAGAACCUUACCUGGUCUUGACAUCCACAGAACUUUCCAGAGAUGGAUUGGUGCCUUCGGGAACUGUGAGACAGGUGCUGCAUGGCUGUCGUCAGCUCGUGUUGUGAAAUGUUGGGUUAAGUCCCGCAACGAGCGCAACCCUUAUCCUUUGUUGCCAGCGGUCCGGCCGGGAACUCAAAGGAGACUGCCAGUGAUAAACUGGAGGAAGGUGGGGAUGACGUCAAGUCAUCAUGGCCCUUACGACCAGGGCUACACACGUGCUACAAUGGCAUAUACAAAGAGAAGCGACCUCGCGAGAGCAAGCGGACCUCAUAAAGUAUGUCGUAGUCCGGAUUGGAGUCUGCAACUCGACUCCAUGAAGUCGGAAUCGCUAGUAAUCGUAGAUCAGAAUGCUACGGUGAAUACGUUCCCGGGCCUUGUACACACCGCCCGUCACACCAUGGGAGUGGGUUGCAAAAGAAGUAGGUAGCUUAACCUUCGGGAGGGCGCUUACCACUUUGUGAUUCAUGACUGGGGUGAAGUCGUAACAAGGUAACCGUAGGGGAACCUGCGGUUGGAUCACCU
Molecule: ribosomal RNA, 1528 nt
Filed under: Klebsiella oxytoca
Lineage: Bacteria; Pseudomonadati; Pseudomonadota; Gammaproteobacteria; Enterobacterales; Enterobacteriaceae
Also listed under: 99 other names
Description: bacterial SSU rRNA
Rfam family: Bacterial small subunit ribosomal RNA
Source: RNAcentral